UUGAACGCUGGCGGCCGGCCUCACACAUGCCAGUCGAGCGGAUGAAGGGAGCUUGCUCCUGGAUUCAGCGGCGGACGGGUGAGUAAUGCCUAGGAAUCUGCCUGGUAGUGGGGGAUAACGUCCGGAAACGGGCGCUAAUACCGCAUACGUCCUGAGGGAGAAAGUGGGGGAUCUUCGGACCUCACGCUAUCAGAUGAGCCUAGGUCGGAUUAGCUAGUUGGUGGGGUAAAGGCCUACCAAGGCGACGAUCCGUAACUGGUCUGAGAGGAUGAUCAGUCACACUGGAACUGAGACACGGUCCAGACUCCUACGGGAGGCAGCAGUGGGGAAUAUUGGACAAUGGGCGAAAGCCUGAUCCAGCCAUGCCGCGUGUGUGAAGAAGGUCUUCGGAUUGUAAAGCACUUUAAGUUGGGAGGAAGGGCAGUAAGUUAAUACCUUGCUGUUUUGACGUUACCAACAGAAUAAGCACCGGCUAACUUCGUG
This 483-nucleotide ribosomal RNA is filed under the name uncultured bacterium. RNAcentral's name for it is "partial 16S ribosomal RNA". It matches the Rfam family "Bacterial small subunit ribosomal RNA", at positions 30 to 507 of the family's 1533-position model. The record is from RNAcentral.